CGCCAUCCAGCGAAUCCGAGGACGACUGAGAAAACGGAGAGUCCUGUUCGGAGGACUUAAAAACAACGAACGCCUUGCCAAGGGGUAAACUUGAUAGUUAUCUUUUUCCUUUCAAUUAUUUAAAAUAGUUUGCUUAGUUAAUCAGGUUCAUAUCAUCUUGAAAAGAAAAUAAAACUGUUAAAAAUAGUAAGCCCCAUGUGAGUAUGCUCAUGGCAUAAAACCCAUAAGUACAUUCACUGUGGUGGCAUAAAAAUGAAAUAAAUAUAUUCCUGUCCUAUAAAAAUAAAAUUGUAAAAAUAAGAUUGUGAACGUACUAAAGAGUGUAACAUUUAUUAAGGAGGCUCAACAUGAUAAAGGCUAGAUAUUUAUGCUAACACUUAACUAGUUCCACAAAGCUUUGUUGUCUAUUUGAGCUCCACAGAAUUCAAGGAUCAAAGAAGACUAGCAGACGGAGGACAUCCUAAUCGCUGUCAGGGUGCUGCCAACAUUCAAAUACACCUCCACCACCUGCUAGCCACAUGAGAAGAAAUUACGUCAAAAUCCAGCUUGGGGGAGAGCACCCCCAUUUAUCCAGCUAAGUGUUCUACUCACGUUUAUACUUUACUCAAAUAAUAAAAAGAUGCAUGAUCAUGAAAACCAAAAUAAAGAUUUUAUGUUUAUAUCUUUGCUUAGUUUGCUAAAUAAAUAAAUAAAUAAAAUUUGCUAUGAACCCUUAUGAUAAACUCUCACAUGGAAAUGAUGGAUAGUUGCUCUACCAUGACUAGUUCUCAAAAUUGAAAUCUCUCUCAAGUUUAGGCAUGACUGUUAUUAAUUAAAAUUUGCUCUAAACCUGAACUUGUGGAAAGAGUACUUGAUCUAAAGUCUAAGUCGUUAACAGAUAUGAUAUGGGAAGGUUGAGCUGCUGUUUAUCUGUUCCUAGAGAUGCUAGAAUUCUGGAGAAUUUUAUCUUUGAAAAUCUUUAAAAUGUUGCAUGAUGAGUUCCUGUAUGAUGAGAGUUUAAAUUCCUACCACAGCCAUAUAUACAUGCUUGUUAGACUAUGAACCAUACAUUUACUUUUUACUGCUUAUGAGCAUUGAGUGUGGUCAAGCUGUGUAGACCCUUAGGAGCUUGUCAUGUGGUUAAAUCAAGAUUCACUUGCACGUUCACUCGUACAUACUACUUCUACUUCGGAAGUAUGCAUCCACAUAUAUCCAUCCAUUUCCAUCUCCAGAACCACCCAAAAAUAUUCUACUCCUAAUCCGGGAGAGAAUAGCCAAAAACAUUCUCCUAUUUCUGUUUUUCCCUGUGAAAUAAAUGCUCAAGUUAUCAUGGUUACUACCACUUGCUAUAUUAUUUCAGGAGAUAAGUGCUCUAAAAAAAGAAAUAAAAUACGAAAAAAUAUGAGGAAAUAGAAAGGGGCAAGUGCCCGGAACCUCGAAAGAAAAGAAAAAAAAGUGAGACGAGAGGUAAAAAUGGACAAGUGUCCGAUAGUAGAAUUAGGGGUACAAGAUACCCACCUGAGAGAAAAGAAAAAGAAAAUAUAGAGCAUCUCAUUCUCCCUAAAAGUUUCAAAAGAGCAAGAAAGGUAUGUAUCCCCUCAAAAGAGCACAAGUAGAAUUAGACUUUCACCAUUGUUAUCACUAUCAUUACCAUACACCAUUCAUUCGCCACACAUGCACAUCUUGAUUUGACUUAUUGACUUGUUCUUCUGGAUCCAUAGUUUGACUAUGCAAUAAAUGUCUUGUAAGUAUGUAUUAGCUAUCUCCCACCUCUGAGCUCCAGAUAUCAAAAGCCUUAUUAGAGUAGGGUGAGAGAGAAGGCAAUGCCACUAUGCCUUAUACCACAAAUACCACAUACUUUGAGAGAAGGCAUAUACCAUUACUGCCUUGGUAAGGAUCCAGAAAUACUACAAAAGAGAGACUAGAGAGAGUCAUACAAGGAAUCUCUGAGUUUUAUUUGAAAAUCUGCAAAAACUCCAGAGCUAUAGUUAAUCGAAGAACAAGAGACAUGGCGCUUGACUAGACCGUUCUAUCUUUUAACUGCUCAAGACACAAGUGACGGUUGCAAGCCCCAUGGUGGAAGGUACAAUGGGUAAGUUUAAAUCUUAACAGUUUACCCUAACCCAGAGAUAAGAUCUUAUUUGAACGCAUGUGUAUCUUUAAGGCAUGAAACCACUGCAGAAACUCUUGAGCCCGUCUUUGCUCAGGGACAAGCAAAGGUUAAGCUUGGGGGAGCUUGUUGAUGGUCCUUAAUGCUCACAUUUAACCAUCAACUAAUCAUGGAAAAGGAUCUAAACGGAACCAACACCUAGACUUAGGGUUUUAUCUGACAGAAUUCCACAAGUUUUGGUGUUUGCCUAUUUCUGCAGGGGGUUAUCAGGAAAUAUGGAAGAAAGGCCCACACCUCGUGUUUACAUAGAGAUAUUAACGUGCUGCACAAUUUUCUACCAUCUAGAAGACUCUAGAAGCCACGGGAAUGAACGGGAGGCCGAUCGGGCCCGGGGGUAGGGCGCCCGCCCUCCCCCCUUGGGUGCCCGCCAAGCUACAGUAACCAAUCAGCUUCAACUUUGGGGAUUAUGCUCCACCGACCUAAUACUUCAAGGAAAACCACACGAUCAAUGUCGGUUUGAUCCGACGGCCCAGAUUCAUCUGAAAAGACUAUAUAAGAAAGGCCCCUGGCCCCUGGAGAUCAUACCUCUUCUACAGAAUCAAAGCUAGGGUUUCAAUUCUUCAUCCAAGUAGAGAGGAUCCCUCUAGUUCUUCUAGUUCUAGUUCUAGUUCAUCUAGUUCUAGUUAUAGUUCCUCUAGUUCUAGUUCUAGCUAGUUCUAGUUGUAAUCUAGAAAAUAGGGAGAGAGAAGAGGAGAGCGGAGGAGGAGCCGGAUCUGUCGGAUCUUCCUCAACAUUAUACUUUUGCAGCAACUGGUUUGUUCUUCAUCGUUCUCCAAGUUCUUCAAUUCAUAAUUCCUGAGUUCUCUAAUUACUUUUAUUUACAUUCAAGUUAUUUAUUGGAUUCCCGCUUGCAUCAAGUGCUCUAGUCUUUAUAAUGCUAGAGUAGUAAUUAAUAGAUUAGACGUGGUGUUUAGUCUUGCGAUUACCUGGAAUUGCACCCAAUCCGGCGGAUUGUUGUGGUAGCCUUAGGGUAGUGACAGCCCUAACGGUCGACGUAUUCCACCUCGUUCGGAUCGGUGUUUGUGGGACCGUAGUCAGACCUUCCUAGCCCCCUUCUCAUCUAUUUCUAUGGUUAGUGCUCUGAUGUCCCGAUAUAGAUAAUCUUUGAAGUAAUUCUUGAUUCUUUGAUCAACUAGAGAACUCUCAGGAAACUUCCUCUCUUCCCACCAAAAAUAAUUAUAUGGUUAUCCUUGGGCGAUCUUGAUUUUAAUUAAUACACUCACAUUCCCUGUGGAAAAUCGAUACUCUGGAAUACUCCCGGGUGAAAGCUACAUCGGUAUCCAUGCGCUUGCGGAUUUUUCUGUUUGCGUUUAAAAUAACCAACAGGCGGUUUACUUACGACAACCGUCACGGUUAAUGUAAGAUUAACCGUGGCGGUUUGCUUACAGUGACCGCCAUGGUUAAACAAUUAUCCGUAACGGUCGCCCGGCUGGCAGCCCAGCGCAGGUUAACCGAGGCGGGCCGCCAGCCGGCCGCCUUGUUGGCCCAAAACAAAAUGUCUCCUAAAAUUUUUUUUGUAGUAGUGAAAUUAUGUUGGUGAAUUGGUUUCCCCUCCAACACCAACCUAAGCGUGCCUAUAUCAAGAUUGACUCAACAAUAUCUGCAAUAUUUAUUAUAGACAUAUCCAUCGAUAACCACCCCUUUAAAGUUUUUAUAAAUAGAAAGGAAUAGGGGGUUGGAGAUCUCAAAUGCAGUGAUGUUGGAGAGACCAACAGAUUGGGGAGAUGUUUUAUAUGAGCAAGGACUUGGUGAGGUAUUUAUGAAAUAACUUCCAUGCUAACUGUUCUUUCUCUCAUUCUCAAACUCCAAGGAUGAUUCUUCAUGAAUGCUUAAAAUUCCUCUAGGAUUGUCUCUCAAGUUUGUUUUAUCCAUCCAUUUAAUGGUCAUAACACAUGGAUUUUUAAUGCCCUCUAGCCAUUGAUGUUGCUCUUCUCGAUCCUCCUUGUGGUCUUGGUGACUCUUAUGAAUGGGAUGUCUAGAUAGAUUCAUAGGAUCAUCGGGAGGUUCAAGGGAAAGAGCAUAGGAGAAAUUAAUAGGCUCAAGGAUGGGUUGGAUAGUCGAAUCAUGGGAUUGGAAUGUUUGGAAAUUGGCUAUUGAAACAUCCUUUCCUUAUCUGGGAGAUGAUUCCUUCUCUAUCUCUAGGAAUUUUUUAUGAAGACUAGUGCAAGAAGGAUGCCCACAAAUGAAGACAUACCUUCCUUUACUAGUACAUAAUGAAAGAAGGACUCUCCCAAAUAUUAUAUGAUUAAGACCAAUGUGAAAAUAUCAAGGAAAACAUGGUCUUGUAGGGCUAGGUUUAAACCAGAAUUUUUAGAAAGAUUAAUAGAUUCCCUAGGUGUAGCUAAAAGUUCAAUAUCUUCUUGAUUAAGAGAUAGGACCUCAGCUAUAGAAAAGGGUUGGUUUUGACCUAUUGCAAUCAACUCCGGACACAGAUCAUAAUUAGGGGCAGGACUUGUUGACUUCCAUGGUCUAUGGCUGGGCUCCGAAGGUGCAAAGAAUUCAAUAAUAGGUAUGGAAUUUGAGUUAUCCAUAAAGAUGGAAAAAAUAAAAAGAUAAAAGAAUAAAAGAAUAAAAGUAUAAUACAAGAUAAUAGCAAGAUUCAAAGUUAUCUCAGCAAACCGUCUUUCUCCCAGGCAACGGCGCCAGAAAUGCUUGUUGAUAUUUGGCGAUGCCAUCAGGAAAUGAUCCGCAAGCGCACGGAUAUCGGUGAGCAUUUCACCCGGGAGGUUAUCGAGAGUAUCGUAUUUAUAUUUUUACCACUGGGAGAAAGCGUGCAUCUGACUAACCAAAUCUAUUGCUACUACCCUUUAGGCUACAAAGAAUGUUUCUCGAUGUGAGCGAUGUAUAGAGAAGACUGCAACCGUAGUCUCGUUCUAACCUUGGUAAGGAUGAUCUACUGUUCUAUUGGGGAGGCUCAGGGAAUCUAGACACCACAAAGGAUGUUCAACCCGCACCUAUAAACCCUAUCAUUCCUGCUAACGAGAUAUGGUCUGCAAAGGUAACUCGGAAAUGUCACGUUCCUCGCUACUACCACGGUCUAGCUAGUCAGGGGAUAUCUAUGAGUACCCUAGCCCAAACACCACGUUUAUGCUAGCAAUGAUUACUCUAAACUCAACCGGAAGAGAUUAAAGUAAACUCAUAAACCAAAGAACAAUAAAACAAGGACUUACUAGAAUUAGAAGUCGAAUUACAGAAGAAUCCUAGGAGCAAGCUUCGGGUUAGGAGAACUUGAUCCCGCAGGUACAACCUCGCAGUAGACACCGACAGGCCGGGCUUCCUCCGAUCUACACCUCCACUCUAUCUCUCUCAAUCUAGUAGAAACUAGAAGAUCUAAUUCUACUCACAUUGGAUGCUAAGCCCUAAGUCUAUUUAGAGGAGAGGUAUUCCUUCGAGGGCGCCUCUCAACUCUAUGAUGAACUUGUUCUCCUCCAGGGGCCAGGGGGUCUGGUUAUAUAGUCCUUCCAAGUGAAUAUGGGCUGUCGGAUCAAACCGACAUUGAUUGAACGGUUAUCCUUCAUCCUUUAGGUCGGUGGAGCGUAAUCCUCGAAGAGAGUCCUGAUUGGACUCUGAGACAGGGUGGGCGCCCAAGGGGGAGGGCGGGCGCCCUGCCCCGGGCCCGUUCGCCUUCCCGUUCGUUCCCGUGGCUUCUAGAGUCUUCUAGAUGACAGAAAAUUGCACGGCACGUUAAUAUCUCUAUGUAAACCCGGCAUGUGGGCCUUUCUUCCGUAUUUCCUGAUAACCCCCUGCAGAAAUAGACAAACACCAAAACUCGUGGAAUUCUAUCACAUAAAACCCUAAGACUGGGUGUUGGUUGCAUUUGGAUCCUUUUCUUUAUUUAUUUGAUGAUUAUAUUUGGUACUUAAGGACCGUCAACACUUAGGUUGGUGUUGGAGGGGAAACCACUUCACCAAAAUAAUUUGAUGGUUUCCCAAGGACAAGCUUAGUGUCCUAAAACAAGCACUUAUCAGAUCGUAACAUGAACUUUUAAUUAUUUGCAACAUUGCCUUGUGUAUUGAGCAUAUAAAGAUAUUUGUAGAAAUAUUCCUUUGGGUAUUCGUGUCACUAACCUUUCUAGGAUUGGAGCAAGAAGAUCUGAGGAAUGACAAGCGCAAGGUAUGCCCAACCAAUCAUCAUGCAACAUUGAAUUAAAAUUCAUCAAAUCUUGAAUUUUGCAAAAUUCAAGCUUGGGGGAGUACUUCACAUGAAAACAUCCUUUGCCAUGUUGCUAUGUUAGUUGUCCCUACCUUUGAGACAUGCUUGAUUUGUUAAAUACUAGUCACACUACUUCAUAUCCAUUUGAGUAGAUCUCUAUAAAUGCUCUCAUACAACCUUUAUUUGCUUUAGUAUAUGUCUAGGUUUGGAGUAGUUUUAUUUAUCUCUUAAUUAAGCAUGGUGCUUAGUUUAGGAAUGAUGAUCUUACUUCCAAGGGAUUUUAAAUUAAGCAUGGUGCUUAGGUUAAAAUGCCCUUCUAAAUCAAAUUAGACAUGGUAUCUAGGUUGAUUUUUGAGCCAAUACUAUGCUAUAGCAGAUAUUUAAUAUUUUUGUUGGACUAACCCCUGCAAGAAAACAUUCAAUAUCAACCUAGGAAGUUCUGAGAUACAAACUCACAUUGGAGACAAAGGAGAGACAUGAAGUUUAACGAUUUGCACAAGGAAUACAUAGCUCAUUCAUCAUAGAGAGAUGAUCCAUGGAACAAGACAAAGGGUGCCACAAACACGAUGCACAACCGCUAAGAAAGGAAAGCUUCCACAAGGUGAUACUGUACCAUCACUCUUCAAGUAAGGUAACAUCUUAAGGUACUUGACUAUCGCUUUUAUAAGCUUCUCCUUGGUUCUGGCGUUCAUAUAAAUAAAGAGACAAACAUGUAUGAUUUAUAACUCUAAAUUAACCAACCUAAGUGAUUCAUCAUGUUUAGUCCUUUAAUCUUUGUUCUUAGUACUACCUUCGUGAUCCCACACUCCUAAUCAUAUAAGCUAAAAUGUUGCACAUUCAAUCUUUGGAAGAUAUAAACAAAACAUAAAUAUAGACAGAUUAUCUUUCCAUUAGGUCGAUCGAUCUGAUCAGACAAAUGUUUUAAAUGCUACAAUCAUGAUCUUAUUAUCCAUCAACUUUGUCUUGCUCACUAUUCUUAAGGUUAGAGAAUAACAAAUACACUUUUGGUUUUGUUGGUGUUUUUCACCAACAGAGCCCAUGCACUUGAUCUCUGCCUUGUCUCUAUGAGCAGGUACACUUCAAGCAUAAUAUGAAGGAGUUUUACAACUCCUAGACUCCACCAAGUGAAGAACCUGGAUCUACGAGCACAAACAUACUGGACACUCAGGCAAUCACUGCCCUAAGAUGCUUGAGGACGUAAACUACAUCAACAACAAACAACAACUACUACUACUACAAACAUCCUCAACAAAAUCAAGAGAGGCGAUCCAGGACGCCCCGUCAUCCCGAUCUCCAUCGGCAUGGUGGACUUCCCAGAAGCACUCUGCGACUUUGGCUCCAGCGUCAACAUUAUGCCCAGGCUUGUAGAUCGGACACUAAGUUUCGCAAAGGGAAUAUUGAAGAACCUCUGCGUUCGAGUUGGUACAUUGUACACCCUAGCAGCCUUCGUGGUGAUAGAGACUUGUACUGACGAGAGGGCACCCAUCAUCCUAGGGAGGCCAUUCCUGAACACCUCGGGAGCUAUCAUCUACGCUAGUGCUGCCAAGAUCGGUUUCUUCAUCAAGGGGAGGAAGGAGACGUUUACCUUCAAGAACAAGACUACACAAAUCUCAGAGCAAUCCCGACAUGAACCAACGAAGAGGACCAACAGGAGGAACAGGAACAAGCAAAUGUGGACCGAGUCAGCUAAGAUGGACUCUGCAGUUCAAGGAGGUCAAGAUCGUCGACUUAAGUCACCGUUCCUUACCAAAAAGGACAACAUAGCUCCAGAUGGCAGAUCAGACAUUCCGAAAGGUUGAAGACUCUAAGCAGGUCAGGACAAUAAGAAGACGACGCAACCAGAGGAGGCAAAUCAUCAAGGACGGAUGGGUAGACUAUGAAGGAGAAGUGGUAAGGUCUGAAGACAUACAGCUCGAACAGAACUGUCCUGAGGACACCGUAGCACCGAGUCAGGUGUGGAGAGAGAAGAUAGUUAUACACGAAGAGGAGGCGCCGCCGGAACCACCGACUAUGCCAUCCAGCGAAUCCCAGGACGACUGAGAAAAUGGAGAGUCCCAUUCGGAGGACUUAAAAACACCGAACGCUUUGCCAAGAGGUAAAUUUGGUAGUUAUCCUUUCCCUUUCAAUUAUUUAAAAUAGUUUGCUUAGUUAAUCAGGUUCAUGCUAUCUUAAAAAGAAAAUAAAAAUGUUAAAAAUAGUAAGCUCCAUUUGAGUAUGCUCAUGGCAUAAAACCCUUAAGUACAUUCACUAUGGUGGCAUAAAAAUAAAAUGAAUAUAUGUCCUAUAAAAAUGAUAAUAUAAAAGUAAAUUUAUGAUCCUACCAAGUAAUAUUUAUUAGGAGGAAUCUCAAUAUGAUAAAGGCUAAGAGAUUUUAUGCUAACACAUAACCAGUUCCACAAAGCUUUGUUGUCUAUUUGAGCACCACAGAAUUCAAGGAUCAAAAAAGACUAGCCAGUGGAGGACAUAAUAAUCGCUGUCAGGAUGCUGCCGACAUUCAAAUACAGCUCCGUCACCUGCUAGCUACAUCAGAAGAAAUUACGUCAAAAUCCAGCUUGGGGGAGAGCACCCCCAUUUAUCCAGCUAAGUGUUUCUACUUGCGUUUAUACUUUACUCAAAUAAUAAAAAGAUGCAGAAUCAAGAAAACCCAAAUAAUUUUUUUUGUGUGCUUAUAUAUAUCUUUGCUUAGUUUGCUAAAUAAAUAAAUAAAUAAAGUGUCUACGCCAAACUGAACUUAAAUGAUAAACUCUUACUUGGAUAUGAUAAAUAGUUGCUCUGCCAUGUACCUAGUUUUCAAGUUUGAGCUCUCUCUCAAGUUUAGGUAUAACUGUUAUAAUUUAAACCUCCUCUAAACCUGAACUUGUGGGAAGAGUACUUGAUGUGAAGUAUAAGUCGUUAACGGAUAUGAUAUGGGAAGGUUGAGCUGCUAUUUAUCUGUUCCUAGAGAUGCUAGAAUUCUGGAGAAUUUUAUCUUAAAAAAAUCUUUAAAAUAACAUAUGAUGAGUUCCUAUAUGAUAAGAGUUAAAAUUCCUACCACAGCCAUAUAUACAUGCUUAUUAGACUAAGAACCAUACAUUUACUUUUUACUCCUUAUGAGCAUUGAGUGUGGUCAAGCUGUGUAGACCCUUAGGAGCUUGUCAUGCGGUUAAAAUCAAGAUCCACUUGCACGUUCACUCACACAUGCUGCUUCUACUCCGGAAGUACGCAUCCACAUACAUCCACUCAAUUCCAUCUCCAGAUUCACCUAAAAUUAUUAUACUCCUAAUCUAGGAGAGAAUAGCCAAAAACAUUCUCCUAUUUUUUUCCCUGUGAAAUGAACGCUCGAGUUAUCUUGGUUACUACCACUUGCUAUAUUAUUUCAGGAGAUGAGUGCUCCAAAAAAAGAGAUAAAAAAUACGAGGAAAUAAAAAGGGGCAAGUGCCCAGAACCUCGAAAGAAAAGAAAAAGUGAGACGAGAGGUAAAAAUGGACAAGUGUUCGACAGUAGAAGUAGGGGUACAAGAUACCCACCUGAGAGAAAAGAAAAAGAAAAUAUAGAGCAUCUCAUUCUCCUCAAAAAGCUUCAAAGUGCAAGAAAGGUAUGUAUCCCCUAAAAAGAGCAAAAGUAGAAUUAGACUUUCACCAUUGUUAUCACCAUCAUCACCAUACACCAUUCACUCGCCACACAUGAACAUCUUGUUUUGACUUAUUGACUUGUUUCUCUGGAUCCAUGGUUUGACUAUGCAAUAAAUGUCUUGUUAGUAUGUAUUAGCUGUCUCCCACCUAUGAGCUCCAGAUAUCAAAACCUUAUUAGAGUAGGAUGAGAGAGAAGGCAAUGUCACUAUGCCUCCUACCAAAAAUACCACAUACUUUGAGAAGGCAUAUACCAUCACUGCCUUGGAAAGGAUCUAGAAAUACCAUAAAAGAGAGAUUUGAGAGAAUCAUAUAAGGAGUCUCUGAGUUUUAUUUGAAAAUCUACAAAAAUUCCAGAGCUAUAGCUUAUCAAGAACAAGAGACAUGGCGCUUGACUAGACUGUUCUAUCUUUUAACUGCUCAAGACACAAGUGACCGUUGCAAGCCCCAUGGUGAAAGGUAAAAUGAAUAAGUUUUAAGUCUUAAAAAUUUACUCUAACUCAGAGAUGAGAUCUUGCUUGAACGUAUGUGUACUUUUAAGGCAUGAAACCACUGCAGAAACUCUUGAGUCCAUCCUUGCUCAAGGACGAGCAAGAGGUAAGCUUGGGGGAGUUUGUUGACGGUCCUUAAGUACCAAAUAUAAUAAUCAAAUAAAUAAAGAAAAGGAUCCAAAUGCAACC
Molecule: long non-coding RNA, 10589 nt
Filed under: Sorghum bicolor (sorghum)
Lineage: Eukaryota; Viridiplantae; Streptophyta; Magnoliopsida; Poales; Poaceae
Description: long non-coding RNA (SBIC_LNC016110)
Source: RNAcentral